RNAcentral lists this long non-coding RNA (510 nucleotides) under Lepisosteus oculatus (spotted gar). RNAcentral's name for it is "lncRNA (ENSLOCG00000021650.1)". Lineage: Eukaryota; Metazoa; Chordata; Actinopteri; Semionotiformes; Lepisosteidae. The record is from RNAcentral.
UUGUCAUUGAGAUCAUUCCUGGAACGUGUAAAGGUCUGCAGAGAUUUCGCUUGUAAAACAUCAACACUCUACGAGGAAAUUUAUGGCAUUGAGGUUCUCCCGGUUUUGGAAAUCUGUUUGUUUUUAAAGAAUUGCAGCACAAAAUCAUUAUCACAUACCAAAGAACUGUUGGAACUGGUUGGAGCAGAUGAGGUUUCCCCAGGGGAAAGUUUUCUUCCCAUACUGCUCAAAAUCUAAAACCCAUAAUGGCCCACUGGGACUGGAAAGUUGUGCCAGUAAAAGCGCCAGUGAGCGCUGAACCUGGGCUUCAGAGAGGAGGAAGAUGAGUGAGCAGUGACCUAGACUGCAGAGCCACGAUGGACACUGUCCACCACUCAUCCCCCAGAUACACUGGAGUUCUUACUGAAUAUCACACAAUUAUCGAUUGAAGAGCAAAAAUAAGAUUGUUUUAGUAAAUUGUUACCUUUAAAAAAAGGUUUAAAAAAUGUUGAAUAAAUGAGGAUAUACAAG